AUAAUACUCACUUGCUAUUACAGAGAGGUCGCUACCAGAGACAACGUUCAGGCACGGAGGGUGGAACAAAGUCCUAUGCAUAGCUUACUUAUUGCAAAUGUUUACCUGCCUUUCUACUGACAACUGAAGCAAUAUUUCUGCAGAGUCUUCACUCGAAUCAGAAGCUUUUAACCUUCAGAAUUUCAAACAAGUGCUUGUAGCUUAUUUUCUCUGUUGUGUCCACAGCCCUAUUGAAUGAACAGUGUUUUGAAUGUGAAGGCUCAGCUGUGAGACAGGCACCACUUCCCAUGUGGAGUCAGCAGGGGAGCAAACUUCUGAGGAACAUUAAUGAAGGGAUUUAAGCUGAUUCUCUGCUGCAGUUGAACCAAAAAGUAUAUUCAUUUGGACAGCAGCAGAAACAGCAAAUUCCAACACAGAGAAGCAGUGUCUGCAAGCACAGGAACGCCCCUGGAGCAGUGAGGGAUCUGACUGAUGGGAUUUCUCCAGAACCAAAACAUGACUCUGAGCAUCUCUCAGCCAGAGGUCAUCCACUGGGAGUCAACACAACACCUAUCAUCAGCUGUUAACAACACCAUAAUCCUGCUGGGUGCAUUGACCUUUGCCCUCCAGCUGUGUUUAUCUCUGUUCUUCAUGCUGAGAUGUUGGAGAUUUGACAACAGAGUACGAAAGGCUCUCAAACACCCGGGGCCUGUUAAACUCAUUGACAUUUAUAAACAGACGAGCUAUCAGCUAUGUGAUCAUGAUGCUGCUGCUUCAUCACCUGCCGUGUCUGUAGCAGUUGAAGAAUAUGAACCCGUCACAAACUCUCUGUUUGCACCUUCCAUACCCUGGGACCUUGUUCAGCGCUGACAGGCUCCUGAUCCUCCUGGCAUUUACCAAAAGUAAAUGAAAAUGUGGACAUUCAAGGUUAACUUCAUGAUUAAUAUAGUGAAUGCAUCUAUUUUAACAUUGUGCAAUCUAUAUGCAACGCAAUAAAAUGUGUCUCUUUUUACUUUAAUGGUAAUACAGUAGUAUUUUUUAAUUUUCUUUAAAAUAAUUUCAAUACCAUAAAAAGUAAUUUAAAGCCGCACUAAUCUUUUAUGAACAACGGGUCAAAUGUGUAAUGUGAAAGGUGUUGAUCAUAGUGAGGAACCCACAGAGAAUUAUCAUCCAACUUAGCAAAUCCUCUCAGCUCUAGAUUGUGUUUCAGCUCAUUGUUUUUAUUUCACCACUCUCAUCAGUGUCUCCUCCAGCAGCAGAACGCAGCAGCUUUCAGUUAUAAAGCUCCAAUAAACUUACAGUAAGAUACCUGUCUAGCACCAAACAGCAGACAAAAUUAGCAAGACCAAAACAGAGCUAAAAGAAGAGGGAACAAUAAUAAUGUUUUUGUUGCUAUGUAUUUGCUAUGUGUGUAAAUAGGCAACCUUUUGUGAACAUGUUAGCCAUAGCCUUUCUAAAGCAGCAACAGUUACUCACAUAAUCACUUCCUCUUUGGUGGUUUUGCCUACAAAAUAAAAGCGCGAGAAGCUUGCUUACUGUAAUGCAGUACUUGGAGUUGAACUGAGCUUUUACUUGAACAACAUUAAGAGUCUGCUGCCUUCUUGACACACCUCUGAAAGAGUCAUCAGAAAAUGUAAUUCCCCUUAAUGUCCUCUGCCUAGAGAUGCGGAAAUGAAAAAGUGUCCAUAAGUUGAUGGAUGUGGAUCAAACACCGAAACACAAACACUGCAGCACAUCCCCUUAUGUGAGAAAUAGUCGCUGCAGAAUGUCUCAUUCUGUCUCAUAUUCUAUUAUAUAUUAUGUUUCAUAUUCUCAACCACCAUUUAAUGGUUGAAAAUACUGCUCUGAUGCAAAACUUACAGCAGUAUAGAAUAAUAAUAUACAGCAGGGGUCUGCUGUAUAUUAUUACUUCUUCUUCUUCUUUUUCAAAUGUACGUGCUCAACAUUGUGAUGAGCGUCUGCCCUGCCUGAAUUCUACCAGAAGUAGAACAAGAACGUAGUGACAAAGCACGUUCUGUAGCACUGUUUGUCCGUUUUCAGCUACUGUACAAGCAUGACGAUGCAAUGUGGCGACGUCCAUGAAAGGGGGGACCUGUGGUUAUGUAGAUAGGAAUGGCUCAUUUCUAAGGUAAUAAAAACAUAACGGUUUAUUAUAUAAGGGCUUUACACACCAGUGAAAACAUAGUAAUGGAUCUUAUAUUGCAUUUCUGCCAAUACAUCAGAAUUAUUUUACACUGAACAUUUAAGCUAUGUGCAGUAUGACAAGUUUUUUUUAAUUAAACCACAUUCUGGUACAACUACUAAAUCUAAUUAUGAACCUGGAAAUUAGCAUAAUAUGACCUCUUUAAUGCAGGCUACAUUGCAAGUAUUUUUGUAGGAGGUGAAACACUGAAACACGUAAAAUGUUAACUGUACUUACCCCAAACAGCCAUGAAUACAGCAAAGAAAACAGUUGCCCCAUUGUCGAAAAGAUGGGUGACCUGAGAAGAAGCACAUGAACAUGAUGCUAAAAAAAUGAUCUGAAAUUAAUCUAAUGUAUCUAAAGUUCACAGCUAAUAUUAAUGUUUGUCAUUACCAACAAAUGCAGUUUAGCUUCAAUCAGUGACCACUGAAUUCCUGAGUCAAACACAUUCUGACAGCAGAGCUGGCCUUAAUUGAGCUAAAAGAUCAAUACGCUUCGUUGUCUCAUAACACACUUUCCAUGAGUACAGUAACAAAGUGCACAACAGCUGUAGGGAACAUUUUGUCCCCUUGCUGUGGUGACAGUACCUUGGCAUAGAUGCAGCUGUCUGACAGUCUUAGGUAGGGGCAGUACUGGUCACAGAUGGGGCACAUGAUGAUGUCAGUGGCCUGGCAGAUUUCCUUACUGGAGAACAACAUUUAGCUCAUCAAAAUCCGAUAGAGUUGGUACUACAAUGUUCCGCUAAAGUAAAGGUGCAUUUGGGUAACAUAGUAAAAGCCCAAAGUGAUGCAACUUUGAAGUUUCUGAAAAAAUGCUAGUAAGAACACCACUGCACUGUUUUUUUUAUGUAAGUUGUUAAUAAAGUUAUGUUCUUCUGAAAAAAA
Molecule: long non-coding RNA, 3045 nt
Organism: Micropterus salmoides (largemouth bass)
Lineage: Eukaryota; Metazoa; Chordata; Actinopteri; Centrarchiformes; Centrarchidae
Exons: 4
Source: RefSeq, a predicted model, not a curated record